UUGGGAGCGGGAUCAGUCCGUCAGCAGCGUGUGCUGCGAAAUAACAGAAAAACUCACGUUCAAAUAAGAGCCCCUCACAGGGCAGCCCAGGCCUAAGGGGUUCUUUCACCCAGCAGGUCAAGAAUUAAAGAAUCGUUGUGGGUGGAAGAGAUCUCUGGAGAUCAUCCAGUCCAACCCCCCUGCCGAGGCAACAAGUUAGACGAAUGUGUCCAGGUGCUACUGAAACGAGUUUGACACCAUCCUCUUGGUACCUGCUUUUGAGAUAUCUGUAUGUAUUCAUGAGAUCCCCUCUCAGUCUUCUCGUGUCCAGACUAAACAUUCUCCAGCUCCCUCAGUCUCACCUCACUGAAGAGAUGCUCCAGACCCCAAAUCAUCUUUGUGGCUUCCACGGGACCCUCCCCAGCUCUUCAUCUUCCUUGUGGCUGAGGAGCCCAGAACUGGACACAGCACUCCAGAUGUCACCUCACUAGGGCCAAGCAGAGGGGCAGGAUCACCUCCCUCCACCUGCUGGCAAUGCUCUUCCUAAUGCCCUUCACCCCAGGACACCAUUUGCCCUCUGGUGCCAGCUUAUGGUCAACCCACCAAGACUCCCAGGUCCUUCCCAGCAGAGCUGCUCUCCAGUGCUGGUACUUGGGCUUAUUUGUCCCCAGGCACUUACUGUGACACUGGGUGUAUCGUAUUUCAUAUUUUUAAGUAGACACAUACUCCACAAAAGUGUCUGGCCUCCUUUCUAAAAGGUGUCUCUUUUAUUUUUAAUUUUUGACAUUAACAAUAUCAUGUGACAGAAUUCCACAGUUCACUGACAAGAUUAUGUGCAAAAUGCUUCCUUUUUGUUGUUUCAAACCUGUUCCCUUAAAGCUUUAUUGCAUUCUUGCUGCUUCUGCUAAUUUGGAAAUAGUGAUUAAAAUUUUUUGUCUGCUUAUCUUAA
Long non-coding RNA from Parus major (Great Tit), 928 nucleotides. RefSeq lists it as uncharacterized. The record is from RefSeq and is a predicted model, not a curated record. The transcript is spliced from 2 exons. NCBI's taxonomy places the organism in Eukaryota, Metazoa, Chordata, Aves, Passeriformes, Paridae.